Molecule: long non-coding RNA, 1176 nt
Organism: Oncorhynchus gorbuscha (pink salmon)
Lineage: Eukaryota; Metazoa; Chordata; Actinopteri; Salmoniformes; Salmonidae
Exons: 3
Source: RefSeq, a predicted model, not a curated record
UGUUGCCAUGGUCACCUGUGUAUUACAUUGCGCUACCUACGGGGAGCGAGAGGGGACGUGUUCACCUUGAGGGCAGAAGUCCGAACACGGGUGAAAUGUGACCACAGCAUCCCCUGGGGUAAAAUGGGAUGUGACCGCUGCUCCCAGAAAGGAAACACAUAGUCAGCUGGACGAUCAAGUGAUUCUCCUCAGCAAAACAUCUCUGGAAUAGGUCUGAGGGGUGAGGUGUGGUGAGGUGGAAGCUAGGCUGGGAUGGGCGCGUAUCGAUCCCCGUGUGUGGCGUCCGUAUCGACGGAGAGAUGUGUUUUCGGGAAGUGAUCUUGGCAGGGCCAGACAGACGGCCAGACAGACGGCGGGUAGACGAACAAGCAGACAGGCACCUGAGCAGGACAGGACACAUGGGGCACCAUGUUGGCACCAUCAGCCCUGCUGCAUUGACACUAGAGACCCUGGUAUACUGUAGAAAGGUCAAAGGUGACAUCUCCUGAGCGGUACCUGGGAGCUCACAGUGAUUCAGUCCUUUCAAACAUUUAAUGUGAAGGUAUAAGCAUUACGCUAUGACAUAUAGGGUAAGGAAUCUAUACAACCUAGAUUCUAAGGAAUCUAGGUUGUAAAGAAUCUAAGGACCAUGAACAUAAUAAGAAACCUUAGGUGCUACCUGCCCACUACAAAAUGCCCAGUCAGAAGAAGGAUGAGAUAGAUAUCCAGGUUCAGGGGACUUUAUUGGAAGAAGAUGUCCACACACAUCACAUUCAUCUGACCACUCAUGGUUCAGGAAACUGAGAAUGAUGUCUAGUGAGAAUGAACAUAAACUAUGUUUUUUCUUUUUUACCAGGUAAGUUGACUGGGAACACAUUCUCAUUUACACACACUCUCUGAAAGGAAAGAGGAGUAAGAAAACGUAUAGCACUGCUAUAAUAUGAAUGACAUGUGUGUAAAAGCUAGCACAGGUAAGUGUAUAACAACAAGGGCUACACAGUACACUACAGCAGGCAUAAGGCCUAGUCACAUGGCAAUAGACUAAACAACCUACUGCACUUUUGUUGGAGGAGUUCUGUUACGGAUACAGUUAUCCUGUGUGUGUGUGUGUGUAUCCUGUGUGUGUUUCUUUUCUCUCCUUCUCCCCUCACAGGUGAAAACCAUCACUCCCCAAUCAGUCAACAGUCAAUCAUCAAU